Long non-coding RNA from Ctenopharyngodon idella (grass carp), 418 nucleotides. RefSeq lists it as uncharacterized. The transcript is spliced from 3 exons. The record is from RefSeq and is a predicted model, not a curated record. NCBI's taxonomy places the organism in Eukaryota, Metazoa, Chordata, Actinopteri, Cypriniformes, Xenocyprididae.
AACCAAUGAGGUUCAUUCUCGUGUUACGCAGCACGUUUGAGCUUCAGCGAGAACCAAUGAGGUUCAUUCUCGUGUUACGCAGCACGUUUGAGCUUCAGCGAGAACCAAUGAGGUUCAUUCUCGUGUUACGCAGCACGUUUGAGCUUCAGCGAGAACCAAUGAGGUUCAUUCUCGUGUUACGCAGCACGUUUGAGCUUCAGCGAGAACCAAUGAGGUUCAUUCUCGUGUUACGCAUCACGUUUGAGCUUCAGCGAGAACCAAUGAGGUUCAUUCUCGUGUUACGCAUCACGUUUGAGCUUCAGCAAGAACCAAUGAGGUUCAUUCUCGUGUUACGCAUCACGUUUGAGCUUCAGCGAGAACCAAUGAGGUUCAUUGUCGUGUUACGAAGCAGGUUUUAAGCUUCAGCGAGAACCAAUGA